UUUUCAGUUGAUUGAUGAUGA
Caenorhabditis elegans is the source of this 21-nucleotide non-coding RNA. The record is from Ensembl. NCBI's taxonomy places the organism in Eukaryota, Metazoa, Nematoda, Chromadorea, Rhabditida, Rhabditidae.